UGGAUCCAGACUUUGAUCAUGGCUCAGGAUGAACGCUAGCUACAGGCUUAACACAUGCAAGUCGAGGGGAAACGACAUCGAAAGCUUGCUUUUGAUGGGCGUCGACCGGCGCACGGGUGAGUAACGCGUAUCCAACCUGCCCACCACUUGGGGAUAACCUUGCGAAAGUAAGACUAAUACCCAAUGAUAUCCCACGAAGGCAUCCGAAUGGGAUUAAAGAUUUAUCGGUGAUGGAUGGGGACGCGUCUGAUUAGCUUGUUGGCGGGGUAACGGCCCACCAAGGCUACGAUCAGUAGGGGUUCUGAGAGGAAGGUCCCCCACACUGGAACUGAGACACGGUCCAAACUCCUACGGGAGGCAGCAGUGAGGAAUAUUGGUCAAUGAGCGAGAGCCUGAACCAGCCAAGUAGCGUGCAGGAUGACGGCCCUAUGGGUUGUAAACCGCUUUUAUAAGGGAAUAAAGUGAGUCUCGUGGGACUUUUUGCAUGUACCUUAUGAAUAAGGACCGGCUAAUUCCGUGCCAGCAGCCGCGGUAAUACGGAAGGUCCGGGCGUUAUCCGGAUUUAUUGGGUUUAAAGGGAGCGUAGGCCGGAGAUUAAGCGUGUUGUGAAAUGUAGUGGCUCAACCUCUGCACUGCAGCGCGAACUGGUCUUCUUGAGUACGCACAACGUGGGCGGAAUUCGUGGUGUAGCGGUGAAAUGCUUAGAUAUCACGAAGAGCUCCGAUUGCGAAGGCAGCUCACGGGAGCGCAACUGACGCUGAAGCUCGAAAGUGCGGGUAUCGAACAGGAUUAGAUACCCUGGUAGUCCGCACGGUAAACGAUGGAUGCCCGCUGUUGGCCUGAAUAGGUCAGCGGCCAAGCGAAAGCAUUAAGCAUCCCACCUGGGGAGUACGCCGGCAACGGUGCAACUCAAAUGAAUUGACGGA
This 926-nucleotide ribosomal RNA is filed under the name uncultured Bacteroidota bacterium. RNAcentral describes it as "bacterial SSU rRNA". It matches the Rfam family "Bacterial small subunit ribosomal RNA", at positions 1 to 917 of the family's 1533-position model. The record is from RNAcentral. Lineage: Bacteria; Pseudomonadati; Bacteroidota.